This is a long non-coding RNA of Octopus sinensis (East Asian common octopus), 362 nucleotides long. RefSeq lists it as uncharacterized. Lineage: Eukaryota; Metazoa; Mollusca; Cephalopoda; Octopoda; Octopodidae. The record is from RefSeq and is a predicted model, not a curated record. The transcript is spliced from 3 exons.
CUUGACAGUUCUUGACUGUGCACGCCGUCAGUUACGACGAAGAGUGUUCCAUUUGAUUCGACCAACAGAACAUUCUGAUCGUGAAAUUAACGUGUAAGUGGCUGAAUUCUCCACUGACAUGCGUGGCCUUAACGUAAUUCUCAAGAAGAUUCAACAUGACAUACAAAAUGUGAGAAGGUUGGCCCUCUGAAUUACAGUUAUAAUUAAAGGAAGUGCAGCCAACCGUGCCAGAAUAUGUAUCAAUAGUAACUUGUAUCGUUAAGCAUUUUUGCAGAGUUACUGGAAAGACUUUAAUGCUGUUUCGCUGAAAAUAGCAUAAGCGUAGCAAUGGUUUAAACCAGGAAUUACGUUACCAUCAUUUG